GGGUUGUGAGGUUAAGCGACUAAGCGUACACGGUGGAUGCCCUGGCAGUCAGAGGCGAUGAAGGACGUGCUAAUCUGCGAUAAGCGUCGGUAAGGUGAUAUGAACCGUUAUAACCGGCGAUUUCCGAAUGGGGAAACCCAGUGUGAUUCGUCACACUAUCAUUAACUGAAUCCAUAGGUUAAUGAGGCGAACCGGGGGAACUGAAACAUCUAAGUACCCCGAGGAAAAGAAAUCAACCGAGAUUCCCCCAGUAGCGGCGAGCGAACGGGGAGCAGCCCAGAGCCUGAAUCAGUGUGUGUGUUAGUGGAAGCGUCUGGAAAGGCGCGCGAUACAGGGUGACAGCCCCGUACACAAAAAUGCACAUAUUGUGAGCUCGAUGAGUAGGGCGGGACACGUGGUAUCCUGUCUGAAUAUGGGGGGCCCAUCCUCCAAGGCUAAAUACUCCUGACUGACCGAUAGUGAACCAGUACCGUGAGGGAAAGGCGAAAAGAACCCCGGCGAGGGGAGUGAAAAAGAACCUGAAACCGUGUACGUACAAGCAGUGGGAGCACGCUUAGGCGUGUGACUGCGUACCUUUUGUAUAAUGGGUCAGCGACUUAUAUUCUGUAGCAAGGUUAACCGAAUAGGGGAGCCGAAGGGAAACCGAGUCUUAACUGGGCGUUAAGUUGCAGGGUAUAGACCCGAAACCCGGUGAUCUAGCCAUGGGCAGGUUGAAGGUUGGGUAACACUAACUGGAGGACCGAACCGACUAAUGUUGAAAAAUUAGCGGAUGACUUGUGGCUGGGGGUGAAAGGCCAAUCAAACCGGGAGAUAGCUGGUUCUCCCCGAAAGCUAUUUAGGUAGCGCCUCGUGAAUUCAUCUCCGGGGGUAGAGCACUGUUUCGGCAAGGGGGUCAUCCCGACUUACCAACCCGAUGCAAACUGCGAAUACCGGAGAAUGUUAUCACGGGAGACACACGGCGGGUGCUAACGUCCGUCGUGAAGAGGGAAACAACCCAGACCGCCAGCUAAGGUCCCAAAGUCAUGGUUAAGUGGGAAACGAUGUGGGAAGGCCCAGACAGCCAGGAUGUUGGCUUAGAAGCAGCCAUCAUUUAAAGAAAGCGUAAUAGCUCACUGGUCGAGUCGGCCUGCGCGGAAGAUGUAACGGGGCUAAACCAUGCACCGAAGCUGCGGCAGCGACGCUUAUGCGUUGUUGGGUAGGGGAGCGUUCUGUAAGCCUGCGAAGGUGUGCUGUGAGGCAUGCUGGAGGUAUCAGAAGUGCGAAUGCUGACAUAAGUAACGAUAAAGCGGGUGAAAAGCCCGCUCGCCGGAAGACCAAGGGUUCCUGUCCAACGUUAAUCGGGGCAGGGUGAGUCGACCCCUAAGGCGAGGCCGAAAGGCGUAGUCGAUGGGAAACAGGUUAAUAUUCCUGUACUUGGUGUUACUGCGAAGGGGGGGACGGAGAAGGCUAUGUUGGCCGGGCGACGGUUGUCCCGGUUUAAGCGUGUAGGCUGGUUUUCCAGGCAAAUCCGGAAAAUCAAGGCUGAGGCGUGAUGACGAGGCACUACGGUGCUGAAGCAACAAAUGCCCUGCUUCCAGGAAAAGCCUCUAAGCAUCAGGUAACAUCAAAUCGUACCCCAAACCGACACAGGUGGUCAGGUAGAGAAUACCAAGGCGCUUGAGAGAACUCGGGUGAAGGAACUAGGCAAAAUGGUGCCGUAACUUCGGGAGAAGGCACGCUGAUAUGUAGGUGAAGUCCCUUGCGGAUGGAGCUGAAAUCAGUCGAAGAUACCAGCUGGCUGCAACUGUUUAUUAAAAACACAGCACUGUGCAAACACGAAAGUGGACGUAUACGGUGUGACGCCUGCCCGGUGCCGGAAGGUUAAUUGAUGGGGUCAGCGCAAGCGAAGCUCUUGAUCGAAGCCCCGGUAAACGGCGGCCGUAACUAUAACGGUCCUAAGGUAGCGAAAUUCCUUGUCGGGUAAGUUCCGACCUGCACGAAUGGCGUAAUGAUGGCCAGGCUGUCUCCACCCGAGACUCAGUGAAAUUGAACUCGCUGUGAAGAUGCAGUGUACCCGCGGCAAGACGGAAAGACCCCGUGAACCUUUACUAUAGCUUGACACUGAACAUUGAGCCUUGAUGUGUAGGAUAGGUGGGAGGCUUUGAAGUGUGGACGCCAGUCUGCAUGGAGCCGGCCUUGAAAUACCACCCUUUAAUGUUUGAUGUUCUAACGUGGACCCGUGAUCCGGGUUGCGGACAGUGUCUGGUGGGUAGUUUGACUGGGGCGGUCUCCUCCUAAAGAGUAACGGAGGAGCACGAAGGUUGGCUAAUCCCUGGUCGGACAUCAGGAGGUUAGUGCAAUGGCAUAAGCCAGCUUGACUGCGAGCGUGACGGCGCGAGCAGGUGCGAAAGCAGGUCAUAGUGAUCCGGUGGUUCUGAAUGGAAGGGCCAUCGCUCAACGGAUAAAAGGUACUCCGGGGAUAACAGGCUGAUACCGCCCAAGAGUUCAUAUCGACGGCGGUGUUUGGCACCUCGAUGUCGGCUCAUCACAUCCUGGGGCUGAAGUAGGUCCCAAGGGUAUGGCUGUUCGCCAUUUAAAGUGGUACGCGAGCUGGGUUUAGAACGUCGUGAGACAGUUCGGUCCCUAUCUGCCGUGGGCGCUGGAGAACUGAGGGGGGCUGCUCCUAGUACGAGAGGACCGGAGUGGACGCAUCACUGGUGUUCGGGUUGUCAUGCCAAUGGCACUGCCCGGUAGCUAAAUGCGGAAGAGAUAAGUGCUGAAAGCAUCUAAGCACGAAACUUGCCCCGAGAUGAGUUCUCCCUGACCCUUUAAGGGUCCUGAAGGAACGUUGAAGACGACGACGUUGAUAGGCCGGGUGUGUAAGCGCAGCGAUGCGUUGAGCUAACCGGUACUAAUGAACCGUGAGGCUUAACCUUACAACGCCGAAG
This 2927-nucleotide ribosomal RNA is filed under the name Shigella sonnei. RNAcentral describes it as "23S ribosomal RNA". It matches the Rfam family "Bacterial large subunit ribosomal RNA". Lineage: Bacteria; Pseudomonadati; Pseudomonadota; Gammaproteobacteria; Enterobacterales; Enterobacteriaceae. The record is from RNAcentral.